This 214-nucleotide ribosomal RNA is filed under the name uncultured bacterium. Its description in RNAcentral is "partial 16S ribosomal RNA". It matches the Rfam family "Bacterial small subunit ribosomal RNA", at positions 524 to 738 of the family's 1533-position model. The record is from RNAcentral.
UACGUAGGCGCAAGCGUUGUCCGGAAUUAUUGGGCGUAAAGAGCUCGUAGGCGGUUUGUCGCGUCUGCUGUGAAAACCUAAGGCUCAACCUUGGGCUUGCAGUGGGUACGGGCAGACUAGAGUGCGGUAGGGGUGACUGGAAUUCCUGGUGUAGCGGUGGAAUGCGCAGAUAUCUGGAGGAACACCGGUGGCGAAGGCGGCAUCCUGGACCGAG